RNAcentral lists this ribosomal RNA (562 nucleotides) under uncultured bacterium. Its description in RNAcentral is "bacterial SSU rRNA". It matches the Rfam family "Bacterial small subunit ribosomal RNA", at positions 338 to 916 of the family's 1533-position model. The record is from RNAcentral.
CCUACGGGAGGCAGCAGUGGGGAAUUUUCCGCAAUGGGCGAAAGCCUGACGGAGCAACGCCGCGUGAGGGAUGAAGGCCUCUGGGCUGUAAACCUCUUUUAUCAAGGAAGAAGAUCUGACGGUACUUGAUGAAUAAGCCACGGCUAAUUCCGUGCCAGCAGCCGCGGUAAUACGGGAGUGGCAAGCGUUAUCCGGAAUUAUUGGGCGUAAAGCGUCCGCAGGCGGUCUUGUAAGUCUGUCGUUAAAGCGUGGAGCUCAACUCCAUUUCGGCGGUGGAAACUACAAGACUAGAGUGUGGUAGGGGCAGAGGGAAUUCCCGGUGUAGCGGUGAAAUGCGUAGAUAUCGGGAAGAACACCAGUGGCGAAGGCGCUCUGCUGGGCCAUAACUGACGCUCAUGGACGAAAGCUAGGGGAGCGAAAGGGAUUAGAUACCCCUGUAGUCCUAGCCGUAAACGAUGAACACUAGGUGUCGGGGAAUCGACCCCCUCGGUGUCGUAGCUAACGCGUUAAGUGUUCCGCCUGGGGAGUACGCACGCAAGUGUGAACUUAAAGGAAUUGACGG